GAUGAAGAACGCAGCGAAAUGCGAUAAGUAAUGUGAAUUGCAGAAUUCAGUGAAUCAUCGAAUCUUUGAACGCACAUUGCGCCCGCCAGUAUUCUUGCGGGCAUGCCUGUUCGAGCGUCAUUUCAACCAUCAAGCCCCAGGCUUGUGUUGGGGACCUGCGGCUGCCGCAGGCCCUGAAAACCAGUGGCGGGCUCGCUGUCACACCGGGCGUAGUAGAUUUUAUCUCGCUCUGGGCGUGCUGCGGGUUCCGGCCGUUAAAAAACCCUUUUAACCCAAGGUUGACCUCGGAUCAGGUAGGAAUACCCGCUGAACUUAAGCAUAUCAAUAAGCGGAGGA
Molecule: unclassified non-coding RNA, 336 nt
Filed under: soil metagenome
Description: partial contains 5.8S ribosomal RNA, internal transcribed spacer 2, and large subunit ribosomal RNA
Rfam family: 5.8S ribosomal RNA (bases 1-120)
Source: RNAcentral